Molecule: non-coding RNA, 365 nt
Organism: Pelobates cultripes (western spadefoot toad)
Lineage: Eukaryota; Metazoa; Chordata; Amphibia; Anura; Pelobatidae
Source: the annotation of a GenBank genome assembly
CCAUUGCGGUAUAGGUGGAAGCAGCGGUGGAGGAGGAGGAUGAGGUAGCCAACACUGUUUUUUUAGAUAUAAUUAUAUUUUUUAAUUGGGGUAGCCCCCAAAAUAUUGGGACAUAUAAAAAAGACAACUCUGUUCCACAGAGUAGCUGUUGACAUUAUAGUUGUGCAGGCACUUUGUUGACUCUAGAAAACCUCGGGCAAAUCGCACAUCCCCAUGACGGCAACUUUGCAUUCGGAUGUCAUCCGUAUCAACUUUCGAUGCCAGUUUCUGCGCCUACCAUGGUGACCACGGGUAACGGGGAAUCGGGGUUCCAUUCCGUACAGGGACCCUGAGAAACAGCUACCACAUGCAAGGAAGGCAGCAGG